UGAUGGCUCAGUGAGGCCUUGGGACUGGCUCAGGAGGGUUGGCAACGACCCCCCAGAGCCGGAAACUUGGUCAAACUCGGUCAUUUAGAGGAAGUAAAAGUCGUAACAAGGUUUCCGUAGGUGAACCUGCGGAAGGAUCAUUACUGAGUGAGGGCCCUCUGGGUCCAACCUCCCACCCGUGUUUAUUGUACCUUGUUGCUUCGGUGCGCCCGCCUCACGGCCGCCGGGGGGCUUCUGCCCCCGGGUCCGCGCGCACCGGAGACACUAUUGAACUCUGUCUGAAGAUUGCAGUCUGAGCAUAAACUAAAUAAGUUAAAACUUUCAACAACGGAUCUCUUGGUUCCGGCAUCGAUGAAGAACGCAGCGAAAUGCGAUAACUAAUGUGAAUUGCAGAAUUCAGUGAAUCAUCGAGUCUUUGAACGCACAUUGCGCCCCCUGGUAUUCCGGGGGGCAUGCCUGUCCGAGCGUCAUUGCUGCCCUCAAGCACGGCUUGUGUGUUGGGCUCCGUCCCCCCGGGGACGGGUCCGAAAGGCAGCGGCGGCACCGAGUCCGGUCCUCGAGCGUAUGGGGCUUUGUCACCCGCUCUGUAGGCCCGGCCGGCGCCAGCCGACAACCAAUCAUCCUUUUUUCAGGUUGACCUCGGAUCAGGUAGGGAUACCCGCUGAACUUAAGCAUAUCAAUAAGCGGAGGAAAAGAAACCAACAGGGAUUACCUCAGUAACGGCGAGUGAAGCGGUAAGAGCUCAAAUUUGAAAGCUGGCUCCUUCGGGGUCCGCAUUGUAAUUUGCAGAGGAUGUUUCGGGAGCAGCCCCCAUCUAAGUGUCCUGGAACGGACCGUCAUAGAGGGUGAGAAUCCCGUAUGGGAUGGGGGUCUGCGCU
RNAcentral lists this ribosomal RNA (878 nucleotides) under Penicillium sp. 27 BRO-2013. RNAcentral describes it as "eukaryotic LSU rRNA". The stretch from base 635 to 878 matches the Rfam family "Eukaryotic large subunit ribosomal RNA", at positions 1 to 242 of the family's 3401-position model. The record is from RNAcentral. Lineage: Eukaryota; Fungi; Ascomycota; Eurotiomycetes; Eurotiales; Aspergillaceae.